Molecule: long non-coding RNA, 3590 nt
Organism: Diceros bicornis minor
Lineage: Eukaryota; Metazoa; Chordata; Mammalia; Perissodactyla; Rhinocerotidae
Exons: 3
Source: RefSeq, a predicted model, not a curated record
GGGAGGGUGCCGGCUGGGAGAACAGGCAGCUGAGGACUCACCAAUGACAAAAACAGGCAUGAAGGCCCCGCAGGGCACCGGGAUGGUGGUGGCUAGUGCAGACAUCCAGAACUGCAGGCAGAAGGCGGUUCAAACAGGUGGAGGCGCCACCUGGCCCCAGGCUGCCCCCAGCUCCACCCCAAGGAGCCUACCUUAUCAGUCAGGUACCUCCGUCCUAGCUAUCCCAGAAUCCCCCAGAGAUGAAGGGAAGGGGAAGGACUCCAGAACCAGAUGGCUUGGGUUCAAACCCUCACUCUGCCAUCUAGCUGCGUGACUUUGGGCCAAUUACUUAACUUUUUUUGAGCCUCAACUUUUCAUCUUUAAAACAGGGAUACUAAUAGUACCUUUCUCAUAGCCCUGUUGGGAGGCUUAAAGGAGUUAAUGUAUGGAGAGUGCUUGGAACAGUGCCUGGCACCUAGUAAGCCAAUGUCAAUGUAAGCUCUACAUACGUAAGGAGCCCCACCUUCAUGAGAAUGAAGAUGACCAGGGUGAGGAAGACGUUGGCACGUGGUGGGUUCCAGGCCUGUGCGGUUCCAGGCGGCUCUAGCUCCUCCUCCACCAGGCCCUGGCGGACCCAUGUCCGGUUGUCAAACAGGGUGACCAGUGUCUCUUUCUGUGAGAGCUACGGGUGAACAGGGUGCCUCAGACUGGGGAACAGAUAGGAUGAAGGAAAGGGGCCCACAGGAAAGCCAGGGCAACAAGGGAUCCCAUAGUCACACUGGGACUGUUGGCUUUAGAACGGAUGAUUCCAAAGGGAAAGCGCAACUUCCUGUUCUGCCUGGGGUUACCUGUCCAGCCAUGAACUGUCCAAAGCCAGGGGGGAAGGUCAGAGUGGAGAUGAGCAGGGUCACCAGAGCCGGGAAGAGCAGGCGUCUAGGGAUGUAGGUUUCAGAGCAUCAAACAUGGGUGGUGCACCUACUACGGACUGGUGAUAGCUGGUGAUAAGCACCCCACAUGCCUCAGGGCUGAGAUCACAGCAGAGCCUUGGCUCUUACGUAAAACCAAACGGUUCUGACAGAAGGUCCCCUUUGCUGUUCCUGAUAUGAUGGCCCCAAGGGUGAUGGCCGUCCCGGGUUAUUAUGAGCCCAAAUGCCUUUCUGUUGGCUUCUGACUCCCUGAGUGGGUAGCAGCAACAGAAAGUCCACCCUCCCAGCCCUCUCUUGGACACCUCUGAGCUGCGACUCCUUCCCCUGCGCUCAGAAGCCGCCGCUGAAGGGUGCGUUGUGUGUGAGUGUGGAGAAGUUGCUAUCUCUGUCCGUUUCUCUAUGGCGUCUUAGAGUGAAGGUCAGUGUUGGGGGAAGCUGGGGUCACUCAUGAAAUUGACCACAGGUGCCACAGGGUGCAGGUUCAGCUGGCUGUCCUUUCCCUGAAGGAUGCAGUCCCAACAGAAGUCACGUCUCAGGCCUCCCUGCUCCCAAUCCUCAGGGUCACAACUGAGAAAGCUGUGCUUUAGAGAUUAAAAAAUCUCCCCCAUCUCCAUGCUUCAUGGGGUGGGUAGAAACUAAGGCUCAAACACUCUCCAGGGGGCACUGCCCUCUGGGCUAGGCUGAGGGCCUAAGGAAGCCUCAGUCUUUGAUCCAAAAUGCUCUCUUCCAUUGACAAAAAAUUCAAAAGUGCCCAUUUUCAGAUAAUUCAUAUAAAAGCCAAAAUGUUCAAGCAGCCUGGAAAACACCACUGGCUGAUUUUCUCUUUUUGACUGGGCCAUUAUUUGCCAUCUCACCUGUCACUGGCCCCCCCACCCCACUGUGACCCUCACAGAACCCCAAGUGGCCUAGAGAGGAGCCCAGAACCAACUCACUUCUUCAUGAGGAAGCGGUUGAUGGUUUUCUGCUUCCGCAUCACCUGAACAAUCUUGCGGUUCAGGUAGACAAAGAGCGCUCCCCCGAAGCCACUAGCAAUACUGGAGAGGGAAGAAGCCCCAGGGUAAAAGGAGGUCUUCCCUCUUUUCCCUCCUCCUCUCCGACACACCCAGCUCCCUCAGCUCCUCACCCAAUGACAGCAAAGGCAGGCAGCUCCUGGAGGUCAAAGGGGAAGUCGAGCCGGAAUCGGGUUUUGAAGAGAGCUGUAAUGGUCUCUGAAGGGAUGGCAGAGUAGCAGAGGGAGGCAGGUGUAGCACCGAGGACCCCCACCCGAGCCAUCUCAGGGGCUCCCCUCAUCUCCCAGAUCCCCCCCACCUUCAUCACGGUUCCAGACUGCCAAGACCCGGAAGAUGAAGGCACUGAAGGUGGCAGCAAAGAAGCCCCGCCAGUAGUUCCGCACAGCGAAGAAGCCUGAGGAGCCAGGAUCUGUGUGAAGCCGGCUGAGAAAGUGAUGAGGACGAUGGGACAGGCAGCGAUGGCAUAGUCCAUGGCCCAGCUGACCAGCGCCAUGAGGAGCCCCAGCAGGACCAGGAAGAUCCAGUCUUCACCAACCCUGGACACUAGGAACUUAUGGCAGUGUACAGAACAGACUGGAAGCAGGGAAUGGAAGAAGGGGGAGGCUGGCACAAAAGUGCUUUUACCCUAUCCCCCCUCCACCCCCCAAAGGGCAGCUCUAAUGGCCUCUGUCCCCCUCAGCACGGUACAGCCAGGUCCCCCGCCCCAACCCAGAUCUCACUGUGGCAUCGGGUGCAGCGGCUCUGUCUGUAUUCCAGGAGCUCCGGGGGAGUCCGAGGGGAAGGCGGACCCCUCCAGGGCUCCGGCCCUCCCAGGCGGAUCCGAGCAGCUUCCUCUUUGGCAAAGGCCCCCAGCUCCUGAGUAUAGCGGCCAUACAUCUGAGCAAUAGGGAAGGUGGGGGUUAGCAGAUGUGGGCUGAGUGGUAAUGCAGGGAGGGCCCCUGGGGCCUCAACUCCCUUUCUCCCAGUCCCCACAUUAUAUACCCCUCCUGAACCCACAGUUCCCACUUUGGCUUGGGGUGUGGGAACAAUGCACAUUGCAGACUGUGGGGGCUGUCCUGGCUGGAGUGAUGGGGACAGCCAAGGUACAGGGACACAGCUCUGGGGGUGGCAGAAUAAUCAGUCCUCUUCUCAUAGGCCUGGGGGGGAGCACUGAGGAGGAGUGGGAGGCAAGGCCCUAGAGGAGGAAAAGAUGGAAAAACCUAAGGCAGUCUGAGAGUGGGAGGAGGGAAGGUCAGAGAAGAAGGGAUGGUCAAGGGCGUAUGGGUAACAAUAAGGGCCUCAUGGAGCUGGGGGCAGCUGAGUUGGGCCUAGGAGCAGGCGGGGCCCCAAUCCUUAUCACGUUCCUGCUGGGCCUCUGGCCUGUGACCGACUCAGCUGCACCCAUCCCGCCCAACCUAAUCCCCUUGUCCCCAUUCUCCACCCCCACCCCCCACCAGCCUGCCAGCCCAGCUGGGAGUGGAAAGUCUCUCUGAGUAGGUGGAGAGAGCUCAGUGGCCUUGACCCCACUCUGGAGCUGCCCUGAGUCCAGUGGUGGGUUGGGGGACAGCAGAAGCUGAUGGUUGGGCUGUGACUGUGGAUGCUGGGGUGAUGGGAUUAGACCUGCCAAGCUGGGCGUGUGUUGGGGGGUGGGGAGGAGUAGAUUCCGGCUGCCACCCGCAGAGCUUCGGGACACAAA